CCCCAAAAUACCCUGCACACUACUGUUCGGCCUUCAUCUCUUUCAUCUUCUUCCCCCGAAACCCUCAUCCCCCCUCCUCGUCGCCAUUCGUUGACAGGCUUCCUUCCGGCCGAAGCGAGUCAUAAUCGCUUCACCUCGUCGCCGUCGGUUGUAAGGGCUUCACCUCCGGUUGUAAGGGCUUCACCUUCCCCGAAAAUCUCAUCCCCUUCCUCGUCGCCGUUGCUUGUAAGGCCUUCACCGACGGCCCAAGCGCCUGGUUCUUUCUCCUCCUCGCUUCGGGUCAACCCACACAACCGGAUCGGCUAGAUUUGGGUAGAUCCGUGCCGGCCUUCACCUGCGAUUUGGGGGUUUUCUCUUGGUCUCAGAUUAGGGUAUUUCCUCUAUUUCUGUUGCCGUCGAGGAGGCUUCGUGUCGCAACCUUGCUUGCUCUUCGGCUCAGAUCGCGCGAACUAAGGCCAGAAUCAUUCACUCGCAUUGUUUGGCCCCACUCCUUGCUUCAGCCAAACCCUGACUUUGGAGCUUCAUAGGCCGAGGUUGGCCGAGGUUGCCUUGUGCUUCUUGAUUUUUGGUCGCUUCGCCUCUGAGCUUGGUUAUUUUGCUAUAAUCAGAAUGCUAUUGGUGCGAUCGACGGAUCACAUAUUUCAAUGGCAGUCUGAAGGAGCAAACAAGUACGAUUUUGCUAUCGGAAAGGGUUUACCUCACAAAUUAUGAUGGCUGCUGUGUCAUCGAUCAUAAUUUUGUAUUUGUAUGCACGGGUUGGGAAGAAUCUACUGCCAAUAUGAAAGUACUUCGAUGGGCGUGCGAAAAUGGAGGUUUCGUUGUUCCCAAAAGACGCUGAUGAAAAUGCAGAAUCUGGUUUUUUGGAAGGAUAUGAUGAGUCUCGACAUGGCGAGGAUUUCCAUGCUAAUAUUACAAACCAAUUGUGUAGUAGAACUUAGUUUCUUGAAUUAUAUUGCUAUUUGGUAGAACUAAAUAUAGUGCUUGUAUUGGAUUUUGACUAAACUAAGAUGAUGAUGUGUGAAAUGCAUGUGGUUUGUAAUAAUUGCUUACUUGUUUCUUUGAAAUU
This is a long non-coding RNA of Ananas comosus (pineapple), 1066 nucleotides long. RefSeq lists it as uncharacterized. Lineage: Eukaryota; Viridiplantae; Streptophyta; Magnoliopsida; Poales; Bromeliaceae. The transcript has 3 exons. The record is from RefSeq and is a predicted model, not a curated record.